GAGCAGUAGAAAAGUGGGGUGCAGAAUUCAAAGUCACAUAAGAAGACUAGACUUAAUGGUCUGACCGAGACUGGAGGAACCUUCGAAGGCAUGGCCCCUGGAUGCUUUGUUAACCCAGAACCAAAACCAUUUGCGAAGCCCACUCUUCAGAUAAAGGUUAGACUGGGCUAUAAAACAAAAUAAUACUCAUGAAGAGUGCGCUUCUUAGUUCAAGCAGAUAUGUGAUACCAAAUGGGUGGCUGCUGUCCAGAGGCAGAAUAGGAAGGCAGAAAGGGACAGGAGCUGGUUGGACGGUCGCGGGAAACCCAGGGUGGAAAGGGUGAGUGUGCUGUCACAUUACAGGGAUUGCAACUAGGGUCACAUAACAAUAUGUGUAUAAAUUUUUGUAUGAGAAGUUAACAUGAGCUGUAAACUUUCACCUAAAGCACAAUUUAAAAAUAAAGGGGGGAGGGCAUCUUCUUGGUUUGACUUCUCAGUCCCUCUGGAGUACUUUCUUGCUGAAGUCCCCCUCACCUCUCAUACCCUUUGCAGGGCCCCAAACCAUUUUAAGAUCAGUUGAAGACUUUAACUGCUCAUUGUCCUAAUUAUACCUCUCAUUUCGAGAUGGAUGGAGAUUAAGCCUUUCUAAUCGUCCAUACUUUAAAGCCAAUAGGAUCCUCUGCCAAAAAUAAACCCUUCCCUCUCUUUUUAGGAAAAUAAAAACCAAAUGUAGGUUGUGGGCUAGUCUGAUAUUGCAUAAUAUCUCCCAUGCACUGCGUAAAUCGUCACCACUCGCUUGGUACAGAAAUAAGAAGAAAACCACAUAUAUUCGGGAGUUGGGAGGAAGGGGCGGUGUCUCAGCAAAGCCAGAAACAGUGGUUUUGGGGUCUGAGGAAGUUGGGUGGCAGUCCCCGCAGGGAAAUAUGAUGAUGUGCUUGGUAGCAAACCCUCCAGCUGGCCUCUGGGCAAGGCUUGAGGGGGAUGCAUUUCUCUCCGAAGGCUGGUUUGAAGCGGGGGCAGUAGGAACACCAGAGUCCUGCCUCUUGGAUCAGCUGAGCCGCACUCUGUCAGAGAGGCUGCAUACUUUGUGGAAGUAGCUAAAAACUACAACAUGAAGUUGGGCCCUGAGAAUUGCCUGCCGGCCAAUGUUGGGAGAGAGAAACCAGGGUCCCGCAGAUCUCAUCAUGGAUGUGAUUACAUGAUUACAUAACUGCCAAACUACUGAGAAUCAUGGUCCAGCCAAGUUGACACACAACCAUCGCAGUGCCUAAUAAGUGGGGUGACCUGGGCAUGAAGAUGUUCCCAAACUCUCACACGUGUAACUGCACAUGACUUGCCUCUCCUAACUAGAGUAUACCUGUCUCAACAUUUCACCAGCUGUAAUAAGUGGUGUGCAAUGCUGGUUCAAGAAAAGAGGCUGCAAUUUGGGGAAAAGAAUUCUGAGAAACACGAAUUCCCUCCUUCUUUGGCUCAAUCCUGACUUCUUGGGUUGAUACUGUGUGAGGAAGUGGAGUUACCUCAAUAAAUACAGCAUAGUUUCUACUCCUGAGAAUUCACAGUUGCCUGAUGGACAGCUGUUGGAGAACUUGUCAUCUCUCCGACUCAGUGAAGACUGAAGGUGUGUCCCCUAUUUCUCCCACAAUGAGUGCCUUACACUGCCCUUACCUCCAGGGACACCUCCUUCUUUGAUAACUGCCCUCCCCCCAUUUGUAUGCUGCUAUUUUCUGAUCCUCAGUGGGCCUCUCCAAGCCACCUUUUCCCAGCUUUCUCUGACCUGGAGAUGAUUCAAGUGAAAGGGAAAUGUUGCCAGUCAUCGCUAAGGGAUGCCUAUCAGGGGAGGGCUGAGAAGCUGAAAGCCUGCCUGGAAAUGGGAGCUGGUUCUGAGGAGGAAGAACACCAGUGAGAGCUUUCCUUCACCCUCAGGGAAUGGGUGGGAACAACCCAUAAUGCAAGGCCCUAGACCCAGUUGGGGCAUAGGAGAGGUGGGGGAGACCUUUUCUCUCCCUCAUUCCUAUUUUAACUAGCUGUUCACUAGU
Molecule: long non-coding RNA, 2015 nt
Organism: Loxodonta africana (African savanna elephant)
Lineage: Eukaryota; Metazoa; Chordata; Mammalia; Proboscidea; Elephantidae
Exons: 5
Source: RefSeq, a predicted model, not a curated record